GAUGAAGAACGUAGCGAAAUGCGAUAAGUAAUGUGAAUUGCAGAAUUCAGUGAAUCAUCGAAUCUUUGAACGCACCUUGCGCUCCUUGGUAUUCCGAGGAGCAUGCCUGUUUGAGUGUCAUUUAAUUCUCAACCCCUCCAGCUUUUUUAGUUGGUUUGGUGGCUUGGAUGUGGGGGAUUCAUUUGCGGGCCUCUUCAGAGGUCGGCUCCCCUGAAAUGCAUUAGCGGAACCGUUUGCGGUAAAACUGUCACUGGUGUGAUAAUUAUCUACGCCAACGACUACUGCUCUCUCAUAGUUCUGCUUCUAAUUGUCCUUUCACUUGGACAACGAUAUCUGAACACUUGACCUCAAAUCAGGUAGGACUACCCGCUGAACUUAAGCAUAUCAAUAAGCGGAGGA
RNAcentral lists this unclassified non-coding RNA (399 nucleotides) under soil metagenome. RNAcentral's name for it is "partial contains 5.8S ribosomal RNA, internal transcribed spacer 2, and large subunit ribosomal RNA". The stretch from base 1 to 120 matches the Rfam family "5.8S ribosomal RNA", at positions 35 to 154 of the family's 154-position model. The record is from RNAcentral.